CGCGCACACGCACACACACACACACACACACACACACACACACAUAUAUAUAUAUAUAUAUUCAAAAGUGACUGAAUACAAAAGGUGUCCUAAUACACAUGAGUCAACUCAAAAUACAAAAGUCAUGGAUAAAAACUAUCCAAGAGUUAAUUAGCCAACAAAUACAAGGCCCAUAAGAUAGAUCCUAGACAUAGGAGACAAACUAAUCUAGAUCUAAUAGAUGUCAUGGCUAGAGGGAUCAGAAUCUGAAGAAUCAGAGAUAGGAUGAGG
This 270-nucleotide long non-coding RNA is filed under the name Elaeis guineensis (African oil palm). RNAcentral describes it as "long non-coding RNA (EGUI_LNC030595)". Lineage: Eukaryota; Viridiplantae; Streptophyta; Magnoliopsida; Arecales; Arecaceae. The record is from RNAcentral.